Molecule: ribosomal RNA, 253 nt
Filed under: uncultured bacterium
Lineage: Bacteria
Description: partial 16S ribosomal RNA
Rfam family: Bacterial small subunit ribosomal RNA
Source: RNAcentral
UACGUAGGAGGCAAGCGUUGUCCGGAAUUACUGGGCGUAAAGCGCGUGUAGGUGGUGGGACAAGUCUGCUGUGAAAGCGCCUGGCUUAACCGGGCGAGGUCGGCGGAAACUGUCCGACUCGAGGACGGUAGAGGGGGGUGGAAUUCCCGGUGUAGUGGUGAAAUGCGUAGAGAUCGGGAGGAACACCUGUGGCGAAGGCGGCCCCCGGGCCGGCCCUGACACUGAGACGCGAAGGCGUGGGGAGCGAACGGGG